AUCAUGGCUACUUUGAAUUUCUAGUGAUGCCCUUUGGGUUGACCAAUGCACCGCCAACCUUUCAGGCCUUUAUGAAUGAGGAAAUACUGCCAAGAUUAUCUCCUCAACUUAGAGUGGAGUUUGUCCAAAAGAAGAUAGCGGCUACCUUUAAACAGCAAGAGGUCUCUGUAACUUUUUUUUUGUUUGUUUGUUAUAAUGAUGGAUGCCAAAGUUUAUGUACAUCUGCACGACGACCAUUUUGAUAUACAUCAUGUCAUUUUACUAA
Long non-coding RNA from Gossypium arboreum, 265 nucleotides. RefSeq lists it as uncharacterized. The transcript has 2 exons. NCBI's taxonomy places the organism in Eukaryota, Viridiplantae, Streptophyta, Magnoliopsida, Malvales, Malvaceae. The record is from RefSeq and is a predicted model, not a curated record.